UUCGGUGGUGAUAGCGGCGGGGUUACACCUCUUCCCAUUCCGAACAGAGAAGUUAAGCCCGCCCGCGCCGAUGGUACUCGGAGGGCAACCUCCCGGGAGAGUAGGUCGCCGCCGAUG
This 117-nucleotide ribosomal RNA is filed under the name Actinomycetota bacterium. Lineage: Bacteria; Bacillati; Actinomycetota. The record is from RNAcentral.